RNAcentral lists this long non-coding RNA (705 nucleotides) under Equus caballus (horse). RNAcentral's name for it is "lncRNA (ENSECAG00000046700.1)". Lineage: Eukaryota; Metazoa; Chordata; Mammalia; Perissodactyla; Equidae. The record is from RNAcentral.
AGGAUACUAUUGCAAUUAGCUGGAUGGGAGAUGAGCAAGAGACAUUGCUGUUAUUCCACCAACACUGUAGCAGUGGAGGCGGUGAAGAGUUGUUGGAUUUUGAAAGUAAUCUGUAGGAUUCACCGGUGGUUGGAUUUGGGGUGUAAGAGAAAGAGAAGAAUCAAAGAUAACCCCAAGAUGAUUGGCCUGAGUGCCGCACCCCCACACACCCCAAAGGGAGUUACUAUUAACUACGAUGGAGAAUCAGGGGAAAAACUGGUUUUGGAGGAAAGGCUAAGGGAUGGACUUUGGCCCACUUCGGCCACGCAGAUGAGGACAGCACCUACGUGAUGGUGCAUUGUGAAGCUGGACUGAGCACCUUUGAGCUGGGCUAUCUGCUCUUUAUCUUCUUUGUCCCUUAGAACUGUUACCUGAAAGAAAGAAAUACUUGUCUUUUGUGAGCUUUUGCAUUUUGAAAUCGCUUUAUGGCAGCACGGCCUAAUAAAGAUAGCAUAUGUUGUGUUUAAAUGUAGUCUAAAUUUUUAAAAUUCAAGAUCAAGGAAACAAGUAUAUUUUAAAUUAACAUAAUCAAAGUGUCAAACCUAGUACUUAUUUACCCAAUGUGUGUGUUUCAAUAGUAUUUGAAACUACUGUUUGGAAUGGCAAAUGAACUUACCAGUUGAUUUUUCUAACUCCUAUACUUUGCUCACGAAUUGUUCCCAAUAA